This 468-nucleotide ribosomal RNA is filed under the name uncultured bacterium. Its description in RNAcentral is "partial 16S ribosomal RNA". It matches the Rfam family "Bacterial small subunit ribosomal RNA", at positions 28 to 507 of the family's 1533-position model. The record is from RNAcentral.
GACGAACGCUGGCGGCGUGCUUAACACAUGCAAGUCGAACGGAAAGGCCCUGCUUUUGUGGGGUGCUCGAGUGGCGAACGGGUGGGUAACAAGUGAGUAACCUGCCCUUUACUUUGGGAUAACUUCAGGAAACUGGGGCUAAUACCGGAUAGGAGCUCCUGCUGCAUGGUGGGGGUUGGAAAGUUCGGGCGGUUGGGGAUGGACUCGCGGCUUAUCAGCUUGUUGGUGGGGUAGUGGUUUACCAAGUCUUUGACGGGUAGCCGGCAUGAGAGGGUGACCGGCGACAUGGGGCCUGAGAUAGGGCCCAGUAGCCUACGGGAGGCAGCAGGGGGGAAUAUUGCACAAUGGGCGGAAGCCUGAUGCAGCAACGCCGCGUGCGGGAUGACGGCCUUCGGGUUGUAAACCGCUGUCGCCUGAGACGAAGCGUGAGUGACGGUAAUGGGUAAAGAAGCACCGGCUAACUACGUG